AUGGUCUUAGCUUGCUAAGGCUGAUGGCGACCGGCGCACGGGUGAGUAACACGUAUCCAACCUGCCGUCUACUCUUGGCCAGCCUUCUGAAAGGAAGAUUAAUACAAGAUGGCAUCAUGAGUUCACAUGUUCACAUGAUUAAAGGUAUUCCGGUAGACGAUGGGGAUGCGUUCCAUUAGAUAGUAGGCGGGGUAACGGCCCACCUAGUCAACGAUGGAUAGGGGUUCUGAGAGGAAGGUCCCCCACAUUGGAACUGAGACACGGUCCAAACUCC
This 274-nucleotide ribosomal RNA is filed under the name uncultured Bacteroides sp. RNAcentral describes it as "partial 16S ribosomal RNA". It matches the Rfam family "Bacterial small subunit ribosomal RNA", at positions 64 to 339 of the family's 1533-position model. The record is from RNAcentral. Lineage: Bacteria; Pseudomonadati; Bacteroidota; Bacteroidia; Bacteroidales; Bacteroidaceae.